Molecule: long non-coding RNA, 622 nt
Filed under: Brassica napus (rape)
Lineage: Eukaryota; Viridiplantae; Streptophyta; Magnoliopsida; Brassicales; Brassicaceae
Description: long non-coding RNA (BNAP_LNC018709)
Source: RNAcentral
GUCUUUCUCGCAUUUUUUUAGUUUAUUUCGAAUGCUGUAAACACUCUUUUGCUUUGCUUAUAUAAAGGAAAGGAUUUGUUGUUUAUAGAAAUGCAGAUCAAGAUUUUGAGAAAAGAAAAUACAAAGAUCUUCGUAUUCAGCGGUCAAUACAUCGGCCUAUUGAUCUUUAGAAAGAUUGGUCGUCCAUUGUAUGGCCCAUGGACCGUCGAAGUACAUCUGGUUUGACGGUUCAAGUCACUCUAAGCCAUGGUACCUUUAUGCAAUCAUUGUCAUCUCAUUCUUUUAUUUGUUAUAGAUAUGGGGCUAUUAAUACAUGAUUCUGAUCAAGUUAAUACAUAUAUACGAACUAUAAAUGCAGUUAAAUGUAAUCUCACGCUAAGCCAUAUGGAGAAGGAUAAGAUCAGGAGAUCUCUAGCAUGGAUGGGAUUUUCGUUAUAAAGAAGGAAUAUACAUAUUUUAAGCUUAUAUUCGGAUUAUAAUAUAAUUAAGUCAGAUUGAAAUUUGAAUCAGUGAAUUGUUUUCAGUCUUGUAUCAAUAUAUAUAUGGAAAAAAGUUCUCUAGCUACACAAACUAUUGGGUAAUGUAUCUGAAACCUACUGAAUUAUUAAAAUGUGUUCCAAAC